Molecule: long non-coding RNA, 498 nt
Organism: Hyaena hyaena (striped hyena)
Lineage: Eukaryota; Metazoa; Chordata; Mammalia; Carnivora; Hyaenidae
Exons: 3
Source: RefSeq, a predicted model, not a curated record
CCCGCCCGCGACCCCGGACCCGGGCGCCACGACCCUGGGGGCCGAUUCUCUCCCGGGCCGGGCCGGGCCGGGCCGGGCCGGGGGUGGGGUGGGGGGGCGGUCUGCCUCUGCUGGAAAACUCUCGUAGCCGACUCACCACCUCCUGAGACUGCUCCCUGAAGCUCGUUUUAAAGGCGUUUCUUUGCACCGAGUAGAAACUUGUUGCCUUCAGCCUUUCACCCUUUGGUUCCACUGUUUGACGCCGAGAGAAUCAACCUAAACCCUCUCCUCCAGGAAGAACCAACAGUCCUUCAAGGGCAGGCCAGGCCAGAUGUUUUCCAACUUUUGUUUCACUAGUCUCACAACACAAGGAUAUUUUAAUUUGUGAAAUCUCAUGUGGAGAAUUGUAGGAGGCUAUGAUGCUCCAAAAGAGAAGAAAUAUCCAUAGAGCUAGAGAAAAACACCUCUGGGAAACAACAGUUCAUUAACAGUUCAUUGAAGUGCAUUAAACUAUCCAAG